UUCCGUAGGGUGAACCUGCGGAAGGAUCAUUACCGAGUGAGGGCCCUCUGGGUCCAACCUCCCACCCGUGUUUAUUUUACCUUGUUGCUUCGGCGGGCCCGCCUUAACUGGCCGCCGGGGGGCUUACGCCCCCGGGCCCGCGCCCGCCGAAGACACCCUCGAACUCUGUCUGAAGAUUGUAGUCUGAGUGAAAAUAUAAAUUAUUUAAAACUUUCAACAACGGAUCUCUUGGUUCCGGCAUCGAUGAAGAACGCAGCGAAAUGCGAUACGUAAUGUGAAUUGCAAAUUCAGUGAAUCAUCGAGUCUUUGAACGCACAUUGCGCCCCCUGGUAUUCCGGGGGGCAUGCCUGUCCGAGCGUCAUUUCUGCCCUCAAGCACGGCUUGUGUGUUGGGCCCCGUCCUCCGAUCCCGGGGGACGGGCCCGAAAGGCAGCGGCGGCACCGCGUCCGGUCCUCGAGCGUAUGGGGCUUUGUCACCCGCUCUGUAGGCCCGGCCGGCGCUUGCCGAUCAACCCAAAUUUUUAUCCAGGUUGACCUCGGAUCAGG
RNAcentral lists this ribosomal RNA (545 nucleotides) under Penicillium sp. HN4-3A. RNAcentral describes it as "eukaryotic LSU rRNA". The stretch from base 209 to 361 matches the Rfam family "5.8S ribosomal RNA". Lineage: Eukaryota; Fungi; Ascomycota; Eurotiomycetes; Eurotiales; Aspergillaceae. The record is from RNAcentral.